RNAcentral lists this non-coding RNA (143 nucleotides) under Burkholderia cepacia. The record is from RNAcentral. Lineage: Bacteria; Pseudomonadati; Pseudomonadota; Betaproteobacteria; Burkholderiales; Burkholderiaceae.
GCCGCUUCAAUGCGCGAACGUUCGCGCGUACAAUUCGCCCGAUACGAAGCGCGGAAGCCGGUGCAAGCCCGGCGCGGUCGCGCCACUGUAACCGGUGAUCGUUGAUCCCGGAAGCCAGACCUGCCUUCGUACCCAUCCAACAU